This 252-nucleotide ribosomal RNA is filed under the name uncultured bacterium. RNAcentral's name for it is "partial 16S ribosomal RNA". It matches the Rfam family "Bacterial small subunit ribosomal RNA", at positions 524 to 776 of the family's 1533-position model. The record is from RNAcentral.
UACAGAGGGUGCAAGCGUUGUUCGGAAUUAUUGGGCGUAAGGGCGCGUAGGCGGUGCGGUAAGUCUGUAGUGAAAUCUCUGGGCUCAACUCAGAGUCUGCUGCAGAAACUGCCGUGCUUGAGUGUGGGAGAGGUGAGUGGAAUUACCGGUGUAGCGGUGAAAUGCGUAGAUAUCGGGAGGAACACCUGUGGCGAAAGCGGCUCACUGGACCACAACUGACGCUGAGGCGCGAAAGCUAGGGGAGCAAACAGG